Brachypodium distachyon (stiff brome) is the source of this 3384-nucleotide long non-coding RNA. RefSeq lists it as uncharacterized. The transcript has 9 exons. NCBI's taxonomy places the organism in Eukaryota, Viridiplantae, Streptophyta, Magnoliopsida, Poales, Poaceae. The record is from RefSeq and is a predicted model, not a curated record.
CAUUCGCUAAACCGGACUACAUAUAGCCAAUCUAGGGGCCCAAACGCGUAAAACCCCCCAUCUCCUCGUGCUCUCCCGUCUCUGUUCGCCCCCCCUUUCGCUCGGGGUCCGAGUGUCGGAGGCAGAUCUGCGGCGACGAACUGGUGCUGCCGCCACAACCAGGUGGCAGGUGGUCUUCAUCGCCGUCCAACGUCGUCAUCCUCGCUUCGUGGUCGUGGAGGACGUUCCUGCUCACGUGGUCACUCCCUUCAAGCUCGUCACGUCCACGCAGCUUCGUCAUGCGGCGCCUCGGAUGGGAGGCCCCGUACGCCCGUACGGGACAGCGGCGGCGCGCUGGAGAGGAACAGGCAAGCGCGAACGGGGCGUCGCGGUGCGCGGCGGCGGGACCGUGGGAAAGCCCCAGCCCCGGCGGCCUCGGCCACCACGUCCACGCCCAGGAGGCCGCGGGCUGCCGCGCCGCCGCCACCCUACCAGUUCCGGCCGACGCAGCCACCUGAAGCGCGGACGCCUGAUUCUGAUGUACGGGGUCGCGUUCCAGCCGUCGAUUCGUGACGUCCCACCCCUCGACCCCGAUCCUCGAGCUCGAUUCGGAUCGACGCUGAUUCAGGGCGCCAAUCGUUCCGCGGUUCCGGCUGCUACGCCCUUCAAUGCAAGCUCAUGUCCGUCUUACUCCACCAGACCAAUCAGGCCCUCGCCUGCAAGCUCACCUGCGGAGUUGUAACCGCACGCUUUUCCAUCUAUUUUUGCUUCUUUCUCGCUACCGAUUUGUUUUUUUUACGCGGGACGUUGUGCAUUGCAACCUGAGCAGCCGUGGGCUAAUUCCGGUUAGGCUUGAAGCGGGUAGUAACUUUUCCUACCAUGUUGUGUAGAUACCUGUAGGUGAUUUAGCACUUUCAAGCAAAUUAGGUAACUAACCAGUAACCACCAAUAGGUAUGACGGAUUCUAUAUAGCACACUGUCAUUGCACCUUUUACUACUUUGGUCGCAUGGGACUGGGAGUACAUACAAUGAAUCUUUGCAUUUUUUUCUUUCUAAAAAACGAAGGAUUUCAUCUAAGAGGGAUUCUGUUCAAAGUUGUAAAAUUUCUGGAGAAUGCAUGCUCCCUUGGGCACUGUCUAAUGCUACAGUGCUAACCUGCACUUCGUCAUGCAGAUCCGUGGCUCAACUAUAUUGGGUCUGCAAAUUGACCUCUGCGUACAUUGUUUUGAUUUCAGCAUUCCGCAGGCGCAGCCAAAGACAACUGUGGGAUUAGGGGCAAAAUGUGACUGCUUGAAAAACUCUGUGUGCAGCGUACUUUGAUUUCAGCAUGGCAGAAUCGGAAGUUCUGACCAGUAUCACCGGAGAUGAACCUUCGUUGAGUUAGAACAAAAAAUGGUUGAGGGCAUGCAGGUCCAUGCUAAUGAGGUUGGAGUUACGCAAACUCGUGGUGGCAUAUAUUGGAUAAUCCUACCUGUUGGAUGAAAAGCAGUUACUAAUCCCAUCCCUCUGCCUUGUACAAUUUCUCAGCAAAAACACAACCAACAAGUGGCCAUAGCGGGGUUCUUGUGAGCCUGAAAUUUGCAUUGCUAUUUCUUUCCCCGAUGGACACAUAAGAGACCCAAGAUGAUGAUUGCUUUGAACCUUUUGGACUGCAAAAAUAUGAAGGAAAAAAACUGAAGCAUCUCUUUUGUAGGACUCACAUGCAAUCAUGCUAAAAAGGCCUUGCUUCUUAUGAAUAUCGCAAUGAUUUCUUGUUCUCUUAAUGAGUUAAAAAAAGUUAAAUUCAACUUCCUUUUGAAUUCUCUAUAGUGAUUUGUUUUUCAUUUCUCUCUUGAUUUUAUUUUUACACUUUGGUUUUAUUUUGGUGUUACUGUUCUGUUCGAAUUGCAGAUCUGGGUUCAUUUUUGGAGAAUGGUAUUCAUACUUUCAUACACACUUCUUCUCACCGCAAGAAUUGCAGCAGGCUGGUUCUACACUAGCAUUAAUUAUUGUUCUCUUUGUUGCUUAAAGUGUUUCAUCGUAUUCCUUGUGGUUGUUUGGGUUAUACAAGAAUUUACAACUUUCCAUGUUCUGAAGUAUGUGAUUCUAUUCACAGGUGUGAUGAAUAGCUUAUUCUCAGUUUAAGAUAUUUAUGAUGACACUAUCUCGCGAAGAGUUAAUUCAAGUGACACUGAAAAAAGUUUGCUGAAAUCUGCCCUUGCCCUUGCCCUUGCAAUGGUGUUGGAUGGGCGUUUAUGAUACCUGAUUGCUCAUGGGAAAGCUGAUGGUGGUGAAGUUGUGCUAGCUUUAUUUGCUGUGAUUCUUAGCGGCCUCUAAUAUUCAUUUGAGGAAGGGCAGAUUGCGGCUUAUAGACUAUAUGAGAUGAUAACCCAUUCGACUUCAAGCUCCAAUCUGGAAGGAACCACCUUACCCGAAGUGCAGGGAACUUUCAAUUAAGAAACCUGUAUUUUAGUUAUGGUCUCAUGUCCUGAAAUUUCAAUUUUAAGUGGUUUUUUGUGGGUGCACCUGCUAGAAAAACUGUUUCACUUGUUGGUAGAAUGGCUCAGGGAAAAGUAGCACAAUUCCUCUGAUGUAGAGAUUCUAUGAUCCAACGUUAGGUAACAUCGUUGGGACGCAUCUUACACUCCCCAUUGUCAAUCCCUUUUUACUAAGAUUUCUCUUUUUAUGUUUUUAGGCGAAGUCCUUCUGGAUGGUAGAUUGGUUAAGAAGCUUAAUUGGUCUGGUUACAGAAGAACCUGCAUUACUAAGUUUGAGCAUUAGAGAUAGCAUUGCUUAUGUUAGAUUUGCUACCUUUGAUCAGAUAGAAGCAGCUGCCAAGACAGCACAUGCCCAUGGGUUCAUCAGUUCACUUGAAAAGGGUUAUGAAACACAGGUAAUGCAGGGCCGAAUGAUUAGCCAUGGAUGCAGAAAAGUUCAAAUUUUCAAUAGCUCAUGCUGUGCUUUCGCGUCCAUCAAUUCUUUGCUUGACAAAAUCACAGGUGGACUUGAAUUUUCAGCUGAAAAGGUUGCAAGAAGCAUUAGAUGUUCUCAUGUUGGGAAGGUUCACCAUUAUAUUAGCUAGGGGUCUUAGCCUCAUUAAACAUUAAACAUUAAACAUGCUGAUUACAUAGCUACAAUGGAAGAUGGGCAUCUUGUUGAAAUGGGAACACAUGAUGAACUGCAAAACCUGAAUGUCCUUUAUCUUUAUGCUUAUGCCGAACUUUUAAGAUGUGAGGAAGCAACAAACCUUCCUAUAAUGUAAGCUGUUUUCUCUGGACAAUAUCCUUGUAAGAGUACUUCUUUUGUAACAGUUUCGAGCUUCAGAUUCAGUACCACAUGUUUUCAGUCUAGACUAGACAAGGGUUCUGAGUUCAAAAUCUAGGUGGUGCAAUUUUUAAAAAUAAAAUCAUGUCCACUCUUGGCCUA